UACGGGAGGCAGCAGUGGAGAAUCUUGCACAAUGGGGGCAACCCUGAUGCAGCGACGCCGCGUGGACGAAGAAGGCCCUCUGGGUUGUAAAGUCCUUUUCUGACGGAAGAAGUCAAUAUGUUCUAACAGGGCAUAUUGUUGACGGUACGUUAGGAAGAAGUCACGGCUAACUCCGUGCCAGCAGCCGCGGUAA
This 193-nucleotide ribosomal RNA is filed under the name uncultured bacterium. RNAcentral describes it as "partial 16S ribosomal RNA". It matches the Rfam family "Bacterial small subunit ribosomal RNA", at positions 340 to 523 of the family's 1533-position model. The record is from RNAcentral.